Sarcophilus harrisii (Tasmanian devil) is the source of this 3016-nucleotide long non-coding RNA. RefSeq lists it as uncharacterized. The transcript is spliced from 3 exons. NCBI's taxonomy places the organism in Eukaryota, Metazoa, Chordata, Mammalia, Dasyuromorphia, Dasyuridae. The record is from RefSeq and is a predicted model, not a curated record.
AAUUCAGAAUUGCUUUCUUAAUUACUGACUGAAAUUAAAAUAAAAGCUAACAGAAUAUGAAAACAAACCUUAUAAUUUUCAGGAAAGAUUCAGGGAUUUUUUUGGUUAACUUUGUUCUUUGUUUUCCAUUUGUUUAGAAAGAAGCACCCAGCCCAGCUUACAACAAAUAAAAGAAAAUAACAACAACAAAAGGAUCAUUGAAUUCAAGAACUGGAAGCUGAAGUCUCCAAAAUGAAAAUCUCACAUAAAAAAUUUACUACAAGUCCCUUUCUGGAGCCACCGUCAUGAUGAGAUUCUUGAUACUUCUAUGGUCACUCCUAGAAAAAAUUCAAUACAUUUUCCUGAAAAAGCAGUAUCUUUGGAAAAUGGCAGGGAGGACUGCUUUGCAAAGGUUUUGCAGUACACAAGUUCCAGCCUGGAGACUGGGUCCUGGUUCGGACGUGCAAGGAGGACAAGCUGAUCCCGGCCUGGGAAAGACCGUUCCAGAUCCUCCUGACAUCAGGCACAGCAGUGCUACACAGGAAAGAGGGUGGACUCAGCAUCCCAGAAUUAAAGGACCGGUGAACACUCCAAGGGUGUGGACUCCCAAACUGAAUCCAGAGAACAAGCUGAGACAAAUGUUAAAAAGGACCUGAUGAAUUGUGCAUGUAAAAUCUUACUAGCAGUAUUGAUCUGGCGUACUAUACUAGGGCUUUUUCUAACAGUGUUAGAUAUUAUUUUCUGUUGGACAGUGUUACUUGACUCAGAAAUCUGACUUAUUGUUCGGUAGAAUGGGGGCCAAACAAAACACACACAGAAGGGGAUUGUGUCUUCUAUCCCUAUGUAUAACACUACCCCUUGUUGGAACAAUCCCUAAUCCUUUACUAAAGGAUGGCAACAGCUUCCAGAACUCGAUUCAGGUUAUUGCUGAUACCUCACACGAUGGCCCUGAGUACCUGUCCCUUUAUUUACAGCCUGGAUAUUGAGUAAUAGAUCAAUUGUACAUGAUGGUACAGGAUUUUGGUCAGAUAAGGAGGAAUAUCAGUGGAAACUAACUAAUGCUGUCCCAGGAAGGGCAUUGUUUAAAUCAAACAGGCACAGGGCCUUGGAUGGGAGAAAGUAAAUGUGAAUGGACUUUUACCCACCGGCCAGAGAAGGUAGAUAUUAUAGAUUGUAGUAAAUAUGAAAAUAGAUGGAAUAAAACAAAUAUUGUUUGUGAUGAUGGGUCAGUGAUUAAAUGUACUCAUCAACAUGCAGUAGAGGGUAGUGAAGAAUGCUUGAAGGAAUUUAGAAAGAAACCAACUUGUCAAACACCCCGAGAUUUAUGGAGAUGUUUAAGGUUAAAUAGUACAAAGCCAGGUACUACUAGUACUAUAAUGGGAUGGAAGCUGGGGGUAUAGGACACCAAUAUAUAUAACAUGUUAAAUACACUAAUUAGAUUACAAGCAGUUCUGGAGAUAACAACUAACCAGACUACUCAGGCUCUUGAUUUGCUAGCUGAUCAAGCCACUCAAACACAAGAAGCUGUUUUACAGCAUCAACUAGUUUUAGAUUAUUUGCUAGCAGAGGAAGGAGGGGUCUGUGGAAAAUUAAACUUGUCCACUUGUUGCAUGCAAAUUGAUGAUAAUGGGCAGGUGGUAAAAGAAAUUACAAAAGGCAUUCACAGAAUAGUUCGUGUGCCUGUACAAGUGUGGAAAUCCCCUUUUUCUAAUAGUUGGUGGUCCUGGGUUGAUGGUACCUGUGGAAACAACUUUUAUGGUAUGGACUAAUUGCAAUCAGUGGUAUUAUAUUGUUACCAUUAUGUUUACCCUGUAUAAUUACAUUAAUAACCAGAAUAGUCCAACGAUCCCUACCAAAAUUGCAUCCAGAGGAUGCUAUUAAAAUGAUGAUUCUCCAGAAAAGAGGCCAGAGGGUGCUAGAAGGAGAUAAUUCUGACAGUGAACUUGAUAAACAAUGUGUAAGCCUAUUAACUGACUUUGAGCAAUGUGUAAGUUCUUCAUAGAAAAUAUGAUAAAAAUCACUUACAUAUUAUAAGGGAGGAGUUGUUUGGAGUAGAGAUAAAGUGAAGAACUUUCAAGAAUGUUUAAAUUCCUUUUCUGUAUUUUAGUUUCUCUGGGUCUCUGUGACCUGCAUAAGUAUAUUGCCUGAUAUAUGGUUCCUCUCGGAACCAGGGAAUCUGCUGUUUUGGGCAUGAAUUAAGGGGGGAGGGCACCUAUCUCUUGAUGUUCCCCCAAUCUAUGAUGUAAUCCUUUGUAACUAAAACCUAUAAAAACUGUAUAUCUUCUCCGAGUUCUUUAGCCCUUCUACCAUGAGCUCUCUCUCUUUCCCUCCUCACGGUACAAUUGCUCAUUCUCGUGAGAAUUAAUUAAACAAACAACUUUUCUGCUUUUUACUUCAAGAGGUCUCUGAAUGGUCAUUUUUGGAUAGGAUUUUCUAUCCCUCACAAGUUUCAAUUGCAACAGAAAAUGUAGGAGCUGUUUUCAUAUAAUACUUUCUGUCCAUCCUUCAGUUUUUGUAUUAUAUUUGUUUCCAGACAUUUUAUUUUCUCUAUUGCCCACUAUAAGUUGUUGGUCAUUUUGUAUUUAGACUAUCUGUUGCUUAAUUAUUAAUAUUUGCAAUUGAUUGUCUUAAAGUGUAGAUUACUAAAUUGAUUUUCUUUUGAAAGAAAAAUGGUAUAUUGUCAAAAAUGGUAAUAAAAAUGGUAAGAUUUACUUAGAGUGGAAGCCAUGUUUAUUGCAAACAUGAGACAUGAGGCAUAUUGCUAAUAAAGUUCAUAUGCCUUUUUGCAUAUAAUUAAUAAUGAUAAGUGCUUGAUUCUGUUAAUAGCAUUAUAUUUGUGGAGGUCACAAAAUUUGAUUUAUUAGCCAUAUAUAUUUGAUUUUUAUAUAUUUUCUACACAUAUAUUUGGGGUAACAAAAAUUACUCUGGCAAAAAGGGAUUGCAUUGGAAAAAAUAUUAGAUCAAUAUAUUUUCUGUAAACUACUAAUAGUCAAACUAAACUAAUGUCUUAAGUUUCUUAAUAAUUUCUGUGGAUGUC